This 16699-nucleotide long non-coding RNA is filed under the name Sorghum bicolor (sorghum). RNAcentral describes it as "long non-coding RNA (SBIC_LNC009990)". The record is from RNAcentral. Lineage: Eukaryota; Viridiplantae; Streptophyta; Magnoliopsida; Poales; Poaceae.
CAAAAUUUUUUUUCUAGAAUUAGCUUGAAUGUUUUCUGACAAAGUACUCAGGUUCAGGAUUCUAUAUCUAUAAAGAUUUAUUGGUACAUACUCUGAAGUUAUUGGAAAAUGACAUACCUUUCUAGCUUUCUUUAGACUCUACGUCUUACUAUUGUACGAAUUGAGAGAAGGUAGGAAAUGCAUCUUUUCAUUUGCUGUCAGCACACACCUUGAUUUAUCGGACACAUGAUUAGCUUCUGAGCUGCCUUAGACAAAUGCAGUUCUUGCAAUUCUGCAAGUUUUACAUUUAGCAGAAGUGAAAUAAUGUUGUGACAUCAGUGACACAUAGGUGAAAGAAUUAAGGAUGUAUUAUUUCUUUCCUCUUUUAAAGACAAGAUAAUAACACUUACCUCAGUGUUUUCUAUUUUUAAUAAGUUGCCAAAAAAAGAAGGGUUGAACGGAAUCAUGUGCUGUUCAGCAGAGCAGGUGGUGUUUGGAAUCAUUUUCCACAUGGCAGGAUGUCUUCUACUUGUCUUCACAUGGCUAGAGAUCAGGUAAAAGAGACUUCACACAUAAAAAUAACUUCAGUUAAGGUAAGCACCACUCGAUAAGAGUUAUGCUCUUACAUAUAAUUUCUAUUCUCCAUACAAACUUGUUUUCAUAGCUUCAUUUGAGCCUUUUUCAAUUACUAGCUCAUAUAAAAAAGUAAUCAUUUUAUCGAGGAUUUUUACAUGGAUGUGAAAAAUAAAAUCUAAGUUAUAGAGUUCUAUGGGCUAUGUCGUACGCCAUAAAGUGAAUCAAAGGGUGUUUAGAAUUGUAGUUUAUACUGACAAAGGUCUUCCUAUAUUGUCAUCAUUAAUUCGAGGUAUGAAGAAAAAAUCUUAUGAUUUCGUUUGUAGUGUUAAUUUUAAUUUGGCUUGUGCGAAUAGUAUUUUUUGCAGUGAUCAUGAACAUUUCACAUUUGUAACAUAGUUUUUUGUUGCUAUGUCACAUUUUUCACAGGAUGUAGUUUCUGAGAAUAAUUUUCCCCAAUAAUGCUUAUGGAUGUUGUUGGGAUGGAUGAAUGUGCCAUGGGAACAUUGCCUUAGCAUAUAAGUUUUUAAUCAUGAUGCUUCCCUUGAUGUAUUACUACAGUUCAUUAGUGACAGUGAGUGUGCAUUUACAGUGCAGAAGCCUCCAACUUAAGGAGUGUUUGGAUCAGGGGCUAAUAACUAAUAUUAUAUUACUCUAAAACCAGUAUCAGUAUUUGAUGUCUUGUCCUGUACUGAAACUAUAAUAAUGGUGCUCCACUUGCGUGAACUAUUGCUAAACCCCACUCUUGAUGUUUAGCUAACUUGUCACGAUUACAAGAGGUAAUGUGACUGCUGCAAGAUAUCAUGUGUCUGCUCUGCUCUUCCUUUCUUUUAUUUCCCCUGAGGCCUGAACCCUCAGAAGGGUCUCCGUUCCAUGCUCAAUGGGAUUAGGGACAGGAAUACAAGAUUCAUGAAAUCAUGGUGCAGUGGAGAACGGGAAUAGGGACAGAAAUACAAGAUCUAUGAAAUUAUGGUGCAGUAGGAGAAUGGGAACAGGCAAAUGAAUAUGGGAUGGCCGGACAAGGACAGGAAUACAGGACGAGACUGGACAUAGUGCAUGGAGCUCCGUAAUCUCCUCUGGCUUCCAUUAUAGAAAAAAUAUGUUUGCAAUGAGCAUGUGACACCGUUCUCUUGUGACUAAAUGUUACUUUAAUGUUGCUGUUUAAUUUCACGGUAUUGUUAUUUUAUUGUGCGAUCUAUGUGUUUUUAGUGUAAAAGUUUUGAUGUCCCGUAGCAACGCACGGGUACACUACCUAGUAAAUUGAUACAUUUAAACCUAGUAGAACUUCUAUGGUACUCCAAUUUUCAUCCUCAUAUUCAUUUGUAUAUACUCGAUCGAGGGUCCGCAUCGAUGUAAUCAUCGUCGGAUUAUUAGAUUCGACCAUGUGCAUAUUCAAUAAUCUUUACACACACCUCUGUGGUAUUGUAUGCUAGCAGCCUAGCGGUCACUACUACUGUACUAUGGCAGACAAUACCACAGAGGUAUAUACUCUAUGGUAUUAUUAUUUUUCGAAAGGCGUCUGUGGUAUUAUUAGCUCCUCCUACAUUCUUAUACACAACAUCUUUGGCCUUGUUUAGUUCCAAAUUUUUUUGCAAAAUCGACACUGUAGCAUUUUCGUUUGUAUUUGACAAAUAUUGUCCAAUCAUGGACUAACUAGGCUCAAAAAAUUCGUCUCGUCAAUUCCGACCAAACUGUGCACUUAGUUUUUAUUUUCGUCUAUAUUUAAUACUUCAUACAUACGUCUAAAGAUUCGAUGUGACGGAGAAUCUGAAAAAUUUUGCAAAAUUUUUUGGAAACUAAACAAGGCCAAGCAUCCUUAUUCACCAAGAGAAGUACUAUGGCAGCAACUGUCUUUACAAGACUAUUCUGUGGUAAAUGGUGCAUGCUGGUAGGAUAUAAAUAAAUAUGUACUACUCCCCCGUUCCUAAAUACUGCUAUUUCUAAAAGAAAAUUUUAUCUACAAAUACUGCUAUUUCUACUAGCAUACUCGGUCCACUAGCCUAUUUAAUUUCUUCUCGGAACUUCCAUGGUCCACCAACCCAUUUAAUUUCUUCGAGAGAGUAGUACUUCGGCGCAUGGUAAUUGUUUAAGUAUGUUUAGUUAAAUGGUGGAAUCCAAAUUAAUUAAGAGUAGAAUAGUCUUUUGUUUGCCACACUAAUCUGUCUGAAAUCUGCUAGAAAUAGCAGUAUUUAGGGAUAGAUGGAGUAUUAAACAAUUCAGAAUGCGAAGCAAUUCCAUUUCCGAGCUUUCUUAGCUGGCGCUGCCUUGGCCGUUAGGAUCUGGAGCGAUUUCCACUCGGCGUCGCACGUGAUCACUGGCCGCUGCUUCCUCUCCAUGCUGCAGCGCCAACUUGAGCAGUCGCUCGGAGUCCACCUCCGGCCAGGGUCCGGCAGACAUGUCCAGCAAGCUGUGCAGCUUCACCCGCCCCUCGCACUUUCUCGGCGAUGUUAUAAGGCCAUCCACCAGGCCCGUGAGAAGUUGCAGGAUCACCACACCGAAUGCGUACACGUCCGACUCCGUGGUGAGCUCGCCUGUCCUGAAGAACAGAACACAGGGUCCAAGUACCCUAUAGUGCCCUUCGGGUUCGUGCGCCGGAUGAUGGUCUCCUCCUCAAGGGGCUUCACGUGCACCAUCCGCGCCGUCCCAAAACCUCCCAGCCGGCUCGCGUCGCCGUCGUCGAGGAGGACAUUGGUCAGCUUCAGGUCGGCGUGGAUGAUGGCGUUGGGGCGGUGAGAACUGGAGAUACGCCAGCGCCGACCGCAGCUCGGCCAGGAUCCUGACGCGGUCCUCCCAUGGGAGCCCCUUGGAGAGCCUGUCUAGGAGCGUGCCAUUGGGGAGGUACUCGUACACCAGGGUGCAGGACUCCUGACAAACGCCAAUCAGCUUCACAAUGUGUGGAUGCUCCAAUUUGCUCAGCACCAUUACCUGUGCGAUGGAGUUCCCCAACAGCCUCCUUGGUUAUUAGUUAAUGUGUAUUAACUUUUUUUUUUUUUGAAGAAAAGAGUAUGUUAUUAGUUUAUUACCUCUUCCUGAUACUCUGAGAAACCUUGUGUACCAUGAGGCCUCAGUGACUUGAUAGCCACAGGGAUGCCAUCUAGGUCUCCUUUGCACACUGGCCCAUAUCCGCCUUCCCCAAUGAUAUUUUCUGAGUGGAAGUUAUUGGUCGCUUUCCUGAUUUGUGAAAUUGAGAACUGGGCAAAUAAAGGAUAUUAUUAGGUUCUUCUUUAAUCAUACUUGUUUACUAAAAAAUAUGGAAUUUAUAACUGUUUAAAAAUUGAGUAUGGAUAGUAGAUGGCAACGGUGACCAAGUCCUUGGUCUCUCAAUGGGUUCAAAAGCAAUACUGGCCGGAACUCUCUCUCAUUACUUGCGGCAAGUGUGGGCAAAAGAUUGUGAUGGAGUACAAAGUGUUGAAAGAGGGAGUAAAUAAGGGUCGUAUAUUCUAUAAGUGUCCGAAUCAUAAUGUGAGUUAUUUCCAGAUAUUUACUUAUAUAUGUGCCUAUUUUUUAAUGAUGUUACUUAGACUUUUGAUUCUCUCUUCUAAUUUCAGUGGGACGGUACCGACAGAUGUACAGGUUGGUACUGGGAGAAAGAAUACAUUCAACACAUCAAGAUGGUCAUGCAAAAAGACUGCAUUAAAGCUAUUCAAGAGACGAUAGGAGGAUUCCUCCACGAUCAAGUGAUCAAUCCAAACGGCGAGUUUUACUUCAACGGCAACGAAACUCUUAUUCCAAACAAUGAUGAUCAUUUGUAUCGGCUCUAGAGAUUCGGAGAAAAAAACUCUAUGUAUGUAUAUAUAUGUUACGAAUGUUAUACUUAUAAAACUAUAUAUAAAGCUUGUUACAUAUCCAUCUAUUUAAUUAUUAAUAUGGUCUAUUCGUUUUAUUAUAGGCAAAACUUAAUUAUAAAGCUAAGCCUAUAAUAAUAUUUAUGCUUAAUAUGCAUGUAAUAUAUAUAUAUAUAUAUAGCAUAAAAUACGUAUUGACAAACAUAUUAUUAUUAUAUAUAAACAAUAAACAUAAACGAAUAAAUGAACCAAAAACAAAAAGAAAAAAAGGACUACUAAUGUCGGUUGGUUAUUCCAACCGAUGUUAAAGGGUGCUGCUGCCUGGCACCGAUAGGUAGGGGAGGCUUUAGCCCUGGUGCCCUGAACCAGGACUAAAGGAUAGGUCUUUAGUUCUGGAAGGGCAGCACCGGCUCGAAAACUGGAGCAACAGGCCCUUUCUAACCGGUGCAAAUGCCUGAACAUGUAGUAGUGUCAUGAGAUAUCUCGGAGAGGAUCGUCCUUCCUUUGUCAUUGUUUUGUUAGUUACUGUCAAGAUUAGUUCAUUUUGAAAAGUACGCAGUAUGUCAGAGACACUCACAAUACACACAAAUUCACCUAUAUGAACAUUCGCACCUGAGCUCUACCCAUAUGAGUAUCUUUGAAAACCGGGCUAACAAAUUCCUAAGAUUGACAAAGUCACCACAGGCGUCAAACUAUCGACGAAAAUGUCUCGUAACACUAAAAGCAUAAUGUUGUUAAUCCUAAAAAAAGUUUGCCCUCGUCACAGAGAAUUAAACCCAAAACCUGAGCUUCUAUUAAGACUCUUUUAACCACUAGGCCAAGAGUUUGGUCAAUCGUUAUUUCCACAUUGACGUACUGAACAUAAAAAAAUAGGUAUCAUCUGGAUGAAGGAACCUUGAAAAACUUGGGACAUUGGACCCUUAGUAAUGAUUAUUUUUCUAGAAAUCAUUACCACUAAUUAUUAUGCCUACCACGGCUUUAAUUAGAAAGAAUAAAAGUACAAACUACUAGAUUGUUACCAUAAAGAAAAAGAAUAUGCCGCCAACAGGGGCGAAAAUUAUAAAAAUAACCCUGACCCUAACAUGAAGAACAAAAACAACUAAGGUCCAAACUAUAGAAACAACCCCGAACAACAAGAACAAAAAAGAAUGAGCUGCCAAAUGGGGACCAAAUUUUAAAAAUAACUCUAAAAAACAUGAACAAAAAGACACUAUACCAAUUGUGGGCAAAAUUAUAAAAACAACCCUAAACAACAAGAACAAAAAAAUAAAGCUACCAAUUGGGGACCAAAUUAUAUAAACAACCCCAAACAACAAAAACAAAAAACAAGCUGCCAACUUGGGGACGAAACUAUAAUGACAACCCAUAAUAAGUAAAAAAUGCCAACUAAGGGACAAUUAUAAAAAUAAGCUACCAACAGAGGGCCAAAUUAUAAAAACAAUCCCAAACAAUUAACAAGCACACAAAAAAAGAUGACAAUUCAGACCAAACUAUAAAAAUAACCAGUAAUAAUAACAAAAAACAAGUUACCAACGGGGAGGACAAACUAUAAAAACAGCUCAAAACAAGCAGAAAAAAAAAGAAGAAGCCGCCAACUAGGGGCCAAAUUUUAAAGGGGCCAAAAUUUAAAAGUAGACCAAGAAAACUAGAGAGAACCAUCCCAAGCCCAAAUAGAGGAGCUGACAACGGUUGUAAUAAAAAUAGAAAAAAAAAGGUAAAAAGAGCGAAGGCCUAUAUGACCGCAUAAAAAAAGCCCAAACCAAAAGUAAAUCCCACAUAAGAAGGGUAGAAAAGGCCCAUGAAAGAAAAACAUAAAGCAGCUCCGACAAAAUGGCUGCAUGUCAUAAAAAUCAGAAGACAACUUUUGAGGCAAGUAAUCAAUCCAAACCCUAAACGAAAUAAAUACCAUGGAAGAUGGACAACACAUGGAGGAGAUUGGAGACUCAAAAUUUAGAAGCAAGGAUGUAGGCGUAUGCCACAACCAGAUCAUUGAUAAGGUGAGCCCUUUGAUCUGCAACAAAAGCAAUGAUCUCUCCCCCUACAUAUAUAGAAUCUACAGAUCACUCUUCUGCAUGAAAAAUAGCAAGACAUGGAAAUUAGAUUCUACAUGUCAACAAACAAACGUUCUGCAUACUUGAUCCCCAAAAAUCCUUUUAUAGGUGAAAAUUAUAUUAUAUUAGCAAUAAAAAAAUCAACAACAAAAUACUAAAUGAGUUUUUACAAGGGAAUAUUAUGCAAAACUGCAAUCCUCCAGCAAAAUUCAAACAACAAAAAGAUCUUGAGAACUCUUUGGACAAACAUCGACAAACAACAGUUUCACUAUUAGACUUUACGUAUGUUGGGCUGACCACCUAUUUUCUUUAAAAAUAUUAGAAUGUGCCUUAGAAACUCAAUAAAUGAAUAAAAUCUAAGAAACAAAGAACAAUGCAAUGUAGUAAUUAAGUUUAACCCACUAUUGAUUCAUCAUGUAUGCUUGAUUUCCUCUCUGCAACCAUCUAUGAUGAGAUUGAUGACAUGAAGUUAUUACUUUCCUUGUGGGUAGUGCCAAGAAGAACCUCUCCCCUUGCAGACAAUGGCCACGAUGAAGUCAAUGACUGCAAUGUCCACCUCAUCAUGAUAAUCACCAAAAUUACCGCAAGUACAAGAUCCUAACUAAAAAAGUAUUUGAUUUUGUCCAUAGAUUUAUUUACAUUUAGGCUAAGCCAUAAAACUAAACUAGUUUUAAAAAAUUGUUGUGAAAGAAAGAUGGGUCAGUGGAUAUACCCGCUAGAGAAGAAAAAAUUGUUGUGAAAGAAAGAUUGGUCGUGGAUAGACCCGCCGGAGAAGGAGAAGAAAGAUAGGGGCCUGGGAUGGACCUGUCGGAGAAGGAGAAGAAAGAUAGGGGCUUGGGAUAGACCCGCUAGAGAAGAAGAAAGACAAGGGCCUAGAUAUAGCAACAAAGGUGGUAGCGAAGAUGUAAUGUCCAAGAGUCCAAACGGCUCAGAUCCACUUUGCACGCUAAGUGAACCACACCUAGCAGUCUAGCACCAUCCCGCUCACAUUUUCGUUCUCUUUUCAAUAUAAAAAUACUGACCCGAAGAUGGUAGGAUGAACUCUACAAACCUUAUGUGUUGGUCUAAUCUGUUUUUAACAACUAGUAGAACUAAACCCAUCGUAAUAUCUCAAUAAUAUGCACUUGGGCUACUAAAAAGGCCAAAUUCCAAAUUAGCCGGAUAUCACAUAACAACAGAGUAGCGGCCGUGGCGGAUGUGAUAAUAGACAAAAAGAAACCUACUGAUGUAUAAAUUUCACUGAUGACACACAAUAAUAUUGCCAGUAUAAGAUUCAUUAUUACGAUUUUUUUCCAUAAUCUAUAAAUACCGUCGCUUUCAUUGAAGACACCGCCAUUUAAUAGAUGUAUUAUGCUAACCCAAAGUUAAAAAGAUUGAACUUUGAAGAACCAAGAUGACUUUAUUAUAUCUGUGAUUGGUUUUGUAAUCUACGGGCGAUUCCCUGGGUUGGUGGAGAUUUGGGAGUACCAAUAGCGAAUGAAUAUUUAUAUGUGGAGAUGGCACCGACGACCCUACAAUCCUCCGCAAAGCAAGGCUGCUGUUCCAGAACAGGUUUCACAGUGGCACACCAGCCGGCCAAUUAUCUGCCUCAACACGCUGUUACAUUCCAAAAAAGUGCUUUUAGUAUGAGCACCGACAAAACCAGUACCGGAGAGUUCACUGCACACAGAGAAAAAAAAAAGAAACGCAGGGGAGGACCAGAUCUACACUGUACUAGCGGCGCGCCACACCGACACAUGGGUGGUGUUUGCAACAUCUGGCGUCGGGACCCGAAUCGACGACAGACGUCAGAGACACCGCCAACAGUUUAUUGAUCGCGAACAUGGGGUCUCCAUGCCUUGCCCCGCCGAAUCCUCGCUCCCAUGCGGCGGACGCGGAUGGAUCCAGGCCAAUAAUGCAUGAUCAUCGCUAAGCUCUAGCUCGUGUCAGCGUCAGCUCCCCAGUAGCAGCAGCAUGCGCUCCCACAUGCACGCACGGCCUCUGCCGGCCGCGCGCGGCGCGAUGGAUCGAUGGUGACGAUCACCGCGUGCAUGGCCUGUGUCUGAUCCAGUCCAGAACGGACGAUUGGCACCGUCGUCCGGGCGAUCGAUCACCACCUCGAUCGAUUCCUAGCUAUUUAAACGACGUAGCCCUGCUCAGACGUUUGGCCAUUAGUGCUGUGCUGGUGGUUCAUCUCCUAGCUCUCGCUACUAGCUUAUUGCUGACAGUAACAACAAUGAAGGCAACAACUGGGUCAUCAUCAGUAGCUCGCGUUCUUGUUUUGCUUGCGACGACGGCAUGCCUCCUGUGGAAAGAAGCCGCGUGCUUCUCGGCGUCCGGCAUGAACAAGGCGUUCGCCACUUUCUACGGCGGUAGCGACGCUUCAGGAACGAUGGGUAAGUAUGUAAGUAAGAAGAUCGAUCGAUGAUCGAGACGGCAAUAACAUAUACAGUCCAAAACUAGCUAUAAUAGCUGAUGCAUACAAAUCCAUGCAUGCAUCGAUACUGUGUGUGCAGGUGGAGCUUGUGGGUAUGGGAACCUGUACUCGACGGGGUACGGCACGAACACGGCGGCGCUGAGCACGGCGCUGUUCAACGACGGCGCCUCGUGCGGGCAGUGCUACCGGAUCUCGUGCGACUACCAGGCGGACCCGCGGUUCUGCAUCCGCGGCACGUCGGUGACCAUCACGGCCACCAACCUUUGCCCUCCCAACUACGCGCUGCCCAACGACGACGGCGGCUGGUGCAACCCGCCCCGGCAGCACUUCGACAUGGCCGAGCCUGCUUGGCUCAAGAUCGGCAUCUACCGCGGCGGCAUUGUUCCCGUCAACUACCAAAGGUUCAUAUAUUUGAUAUAUAUAUAUAUUUCCAGUAAAAAAAAAAGCUGCAUGCAUGAUCUGAAUUCUGAAUGUAUGUACGUUGUUGAUCCAAUUAAUUCAAUUAACCUGCUACUAUUAUUACUACUGUUUGUGAAUAUAUGAACAGGGUGCCAUGUGUGAAGCAAGGAGGGGUGAGGUUCACCAUCAACGGGCGCGACUACUUCGAGCUGGUGCUCAUCUCCAACGUCGGCGGCUGCGGCUCCAUCCAGUCGGCGUCGAUCAAAGGAUCGAGGACCGGGUGGAUGGCCAUGUCGAGGAACUGGGGAGUCAACUGGCAGUCUAACGCGUACCUCGACGGGCAGAGCCUGUCGUUCCAGGUCACCAGCAGCGACGGCCAGACCAAGACCUUCCUCAACGUCGCGCCCGCCGGCUGGGGGUUCGGCCAAACGUUCGCGACCUCGCAGCAGUUCUCUUAGUUAUUUAUUAGUGGACGUUUUUGCUCUCUCUCGCUCGUCUUUUCGUAUACAUAAUAUGCCUCAGACUCGACUCGAUCGUCAAUACCGUGUAAAGUUUACCUGCCUUUCUUCACAUGUCCCCACCCGCCGCGGUCAAGGAGAUAUAUAUGUGCUUUGACUUAUGCUUUCUUCCCCUAGAUUCAUUCUAUUCCUUUUCUUUGAUGGACUUGCAUUUCCAAAAAAAAACCCAACCUUGGCGAGCGGGGUCAGACCUUGCCGAUCAUAGAUCGGCUAGUUGCGGUCCUUGUGGUGGAACUAGACCACCCGGGGUUAAGUCCUCGAUUUUUCUGGAUUUAUUCUAAGAUUUAACGGCGCUAUGCUUUUAGAGGCAGACGACGUCCUCAUCAACAACGAGACGCCUGUGAUGACUUCGUGAAUCUCAUGAUGUGACGGCUCAGUCCUUUGAAAGUACUCAUCUCUACUAUAAUGGACCAGUCUAAAUUAUACUAGAUCUUCCAAGUAAAAUGUCCCCCGCUGAGAGAGCCUGUAACCACUAUGCACCUGUAGAAAUGCACACAGAAAUUUGUCUCCAUUAAAAUCAAGGGUUAAUAACACAUCUAAACCAAAUCUAAUGGUCAUGAUUUGAUGUUUGAUGCAGGCUUCUCACCCCGCGCCCUCCUCCCACUUUAACGCGCGACACCGCUCUGAUCGACGGACGUUCGAAGCCAAUCAUAAUCGAAUAAAACAAUAAAACAAAAUAAAAAUAUGAAACAACGUUUGAACCCUUCUCUCGGGCUCUCGGCCGCCACACCGAUCCAUGUCCUAAUCCUUCAGAUCGCCCCACCCACGCCCUUCGCAGAGGGGAGGAGGAAGCCGUCGUUCGAACCCUUCUCCCGGCCGCCGCACUGAUCCAUGUCCUAAUCCUUCAGAUCGCCCCGCCCACACCCUUCGCGGAGGGGAGGAGGAAGCCGAGGGUGCCUGGUGUGGGCUUCCUGGGUCUCCGCCGAUACGGUGCCUCCGGCCGUCGGGAAGGCGAAGGCGUACCUGUACGUCGUGGCGCUUCUUCACUGCCACUGGGAGGUGUCCGGGAAGAGACACCACCGAGCUGGGUCUCCGAAUGACGGCGGCGAGUGGACGCCCUCGAUGGAGCGAUCCUUGUCAGGCGCCUGAUCCCCGUCAGCGCUCGUGUGCUCGCGAGGCCCCAUGGCCCCUGUUGCGAUCGCGACAACCGUUCUUCAGGCCCCUCGCUCCCCGUGGGGCGCUGUUGUUCUACGCACAGGACGACGGUGGGUACAUAUCCCCAUGGAUGCAGUCGUAACAGGGGCUGAUGUGGCUGGCUGGCGGCGACGAUGGGUCGUCUACCCCGGACGUGAUUCCUUUGUCCAUGCUCGCCAUCACGUACCUCUACGAUGCCAUGCCAUGCGCACCGCGCGCGGACGCCGUCGCCCGACACGGCCUCCUCCCCGUGCUCUCCUCUCGGCUGCUAGCCAUCGAGUACCCCGACGUAGCUGAGGUAAACCCAAAAGCUCUUACAACAUGAUCGGCCGAUCAUGUUUGUCUAAGGCACUUUAUUUAUCUGACCAUAUUCUGUUGUUUAUGCAGUGUUUGCAAGCAUUUGAGAAGAUAUCACGGAUCCAACCUGGCCCAGUGCUUGCAGGCGGGCAUGAUCAACGUUGUGCUGGCAUUCAUUGACUUCUUCGAUACAAGUAUAUUCAAGUUAGAAUUAAUUUUAAAGAAAUCACCUUUGAAACUGAGAAUUUAAUACAAUUGCUAAUUUGAUGCCCACUUUCAGGGUUGUAGUAUCAGCUGUAUGGAUUCAGUCCCAACUCUAUGUAAUCUUCUACAAUUUGAGGACAAAGUGGUACUGUUGUUCCCCCAUCUAACUAUCAUUUUUGGCAUGUAAAGAGUGUUCUGCUUUUGUUUGUAAGUGAUGUCAAUUUCCAGAUGGUGGAGAAGGUUGCAGCUUGCUUGAUAAGCAUCGUGGACUCCUUUAGCUCGUCAGUUGAUAUUGUCGAGUGUCGACUAGCUCUGUCACCAGGGUGCUUUUUUGAAGUAAUCUUGGGACUAGGGGGCAAGCAAGGAGCCCCCACAGGCAAUGUCACCAGGGUGUUAUAGAGAAGGUCCUACCUUUGACCCACACCAAUGGACUCAUGGCCCUUUCCAUCGACGUGCACUGUCGUUUGCUCUACAACUUCUUGCAUGUGUUCGAUAUGUGUUGAGGGAGCUGACUUGUGUGUCGUGGUUGGGCUUCUUUCUAAGCUAGCCUGUACUUCACUUGUGGCAGUGAAGUCUCUAUUUGAGCUGGGUGUUAGUAGCACAAUAAAGUGGAUUUUGAUCACUUCAGACUUAUUAGAUCUCCCAUGGCAUGCUAGAGGCAUAGCAGAUAUGAUGUUUGUUGCUAGAUGCUAUUAAUAAAUCUUUUUAUAGCUAUCGUGAUAUAUACUUUUCCUUUUAAACAAAAUAUUAUGCGUGUGCUCUUCUUGCAUUCAAUAGUUUUGCUUUUGCAUGUGCCAUUGAUUUAGUUUGUGUAACGUUUUAUAGAUCAAUAAAUAAUUCAUUAUCCUACUUUUGUAUUGAAAUAAAAUGUUUAUGAUAUGUGAAUUGAAAUUUCGAGAAUCCAAAUAAUAUUCCCAUUGUAUUUAAAAUAGUCUUUGAAAAUAUAUAGAAAAGAGUUUGUAGCUAAUCUAAGUUAUGUCAUCAACAAUGUCUGUAAUAAUUCAUGUUUAUGUUGCAUUGUGCCCUUUUUCCUGUGCCUGCUGGACCAAGUGAGACAUGUGUAUCAUGGAGAUUGGAGGCCACACAGAAAGUGUAAGGUUAUAUGGGGCAUGGCACAAUCCAUUAGUAAAAUUUUGUUUUUAUCUGGAAACAAUUUGUGGAUCACUGCUGUAAUAACCAUUGAUCAAGUAUAAUAGAUUGAUUUAAGAUGUACCAUAUUUUUCAAAUUUAUAAUGAUAGGUUGUUUAUCAAGUUUGAUUUAAUGAAUUAUUGUUUAAUGUGUGUCACCUUAGAUGUCACCGUAGCGUUAGCACGGGCACUGUACUAGUAGGGAUAGGUUUGUGUACUUGUGUUCGUAGGGAUGAGUGUGCGUGCGUUGUAAGUGUCUGUGUUAUACUAUGUAAUUCUAAAAAAAACCAUUACAAACUAUUAAAUAAUUAUUAAGAAACAAAAGAGCUAUAGAAUAGUAUACUAGUAGAGUGUAGAUCGAGUACAUACCUUCUUUUUUACCUUUAGUACCGAUCAUAGUUGGACCCAAGACAAAUGGAAGCUAGCAACCAGGACUAAAAUUGUUGUCCCAACGGCUAGCAACGUAGGCUUUUGCACGAGGAGACUUUAGUUCCGGUUGAAGCCACCAACCAUGAAUAAAGGUCUUGGACCUUCAUCCCCUCCAACCAAGAUUAAAGAGUGAUUUGUAGUCCUAGUUGGAGCCACCAAUAGAGGUACAAGGCUAUAUACCCACAUUAGCUUUCUUCCACCCCCAGGCCAAAGCCAUUUCAAGGUCUUUGCUUGCUCUAUGUUCUUGCUUGUGGAAGGAGUUUAUGCCUGGAGGAUUUGUGAAGGCUUCAUUUCUUCAUCCUUUCUUGGGUUCUAAAUGCUAGCCACUUCAUCCUCUCGUGUUUCAUUGCUAGUAUAGUUUAUUUCAUGGUUUAGAAAUAGAGAAAUUUAUAGUUUUGUAGAUUGGGAAGAAUGGUUGUUUUUUAUUAUACGCCAUUUGAGGUCAAACUAACUUGAUAGCUUGCAAAUGUAGAAGAAAGCUUAUAGUAGUUCAUCAUAACAAGUAUCCACCUUUCAUAGCUAGUAUAGCUCAUUUCAUGGUUUAGAAAUGGAAAAAGUUAUAGUAGUUGAUCGAAAGGAGUAUAGAGUAGAUGGUGAUUGCUUCUGGGUCCUCGGCCAAGCAUAGGGUUCAUGUGCGACUAAGGCCGGACCUCUCUCUCAUUGCAUAUGGUGAGGGAAAGAGGAAGAUUGUGUUAGAGUACAGUGUGAAGAAGCAGUGUCCCAACCAUGGUCGCAUCUUCUACAGGUGUCUGGAUCGCAAAGUGAGUUCUCUUUUGGUCACCUUUUCUAUGGUAUAUAUUGCCAUUUUUAUGAUGAUUUUGAUUAAUGUUCUUGAUUUUUGUGUUCCAAUUUUAGUAGAGUGGUACUGAAUGUGAAGGUUGAUAUUGGGAGGAAGAGUAUGUUAAGCACGUGCAAGCAUAGGCUAAGGAGGUGUUGGUAUUUCUUAAUGUUUACAAAAAAUAAUCUGCAAGCGUAUGGAAUUAUCGUUGUAGCUUUCAUCUAGAACUAUUUAGGGUAUCAUAUUUUUCAUGUGGAAUGGAGGUAUUUCUUCUAGCUAACUCAUCCAAGGACAACACAAGGAUAGCUGAUGAGGGUAGAAAAGGAUCCUAUGGCUUAGGGUCUAAGGAUAGAUAAACUCUACUUUUACUUGCUUACUUCGGGCACCGGAUUGUAACUUGUCUGCCAGUCGAUGCCGGUCUGUAGCUCUAUGUUGUAUCCGAACAUGGGGGAUUACAAGGGACGGAUAGGGCUAUCACCACCUAUCACCAACCCCUCAACUGGAGGGCAUGAGGUAAACGAAGGUAGCCUCUAGCCUAGACACCACUUCUAUGCUAUCAACUACUACUCUAGUGUGUUAAUAAGGGUCAUCCAUCUUUACCAGGGCCCUUCUACUAGAGCAUCUGUCACGGGGAUGAACGACGAACCUGCAAACAAGUAAAAGCAAAACUUAACUAGUCAAAGUACUUUGUACCAACAGAAUCAUGAAUACUUACUAAAUAUCCGUUGAGGUACAAAGUCAGUAUUCGUCGAGGUACAAGCAGGGGAAGGUUCCCGACAAGCUCGGUACUUCUUUCCUGAACUCUCCCUCACAUCUCUCCCUAGUUUUAUAAAGCUAGCUAGGGCCUAAGCCCAUUGCAGUGUGUUGCUCUUCUACUCUUUGGUGCUCUUCCUCUUGUGUGAUAUUGUUCAAAUGAGGAGGGGGCCUACUUUUAUAAAGCUAGGGAAUAUUAGGGGAUACUGUUGGAGAGGAAGGGUGUCUUUGAAAAAGGUUUCAACUCCACAUGGAAAGCACCCUACGGUCAGUUUGUAGGGAAUAUUCUGAGGGAAACCCACCUGCACCGUCAUCAGCAACAUUGAUGGCACCACCUUACCAAAGAUGGGCCUGAGGCACUCUAUUAGGGGUGUAGGUGCAACAGGGGUGCUCCCGCACCCUAGAGGAGCCAUCUUGACCCAAUCCUUGGUGUGUUGGCCUCUAGGACUACAUGGGCCACUCUUGCAAAGUUUGGCGCUAUUUGGAGCACAUUUGGCAUAGCCCAUGUCUCUUAAACCAUGUAAUGAGAGAGAAAUCACUAUCUUUUUUAAAACAUAGAGUAUUUCUCUAACAAACAUUUUUUGUCUACUCCCAGUGUAGGAGCAGAGUUUGGGAUGGUGGCAUGUUUUAGCGUAUUCUCAGUGUAGGAAUAGCUCAUGUAUGUGGGUGUACAUGAGUUUUUAUCUUAGGAGCAUCAAAAAUUUCUCAAUGGCAUAUGUGGAAGGUUUUUGUCAUGUAUGAUCAUAUAUCGCCUUGGUAGGUAUUUGCAUAUCAAGGAACAUGCUAUUUAAAUUUUUUAUUUGUAAAUAUAAACCCAAGUACUUUGCAAGGAAGCGCAAUCAUCAUAUAUCAUCCUACUAUAUCUCAUUUGUCAAUCACUUGGAUAAAUUAGGGUCCUUAUGAUAAGUGUUCACAAGUUUGUUGGAAUAUUAGCAAGGAAUAAAAAGUAUGCAAAUUUUAUCAAAGGAUAGCAUGGAGAUGAAGCGUCAUUUGAUUUGUAUUUUAAAUUUGUUUUAGUUUUAAACUUUAAAAUUUAGGAGAGAUGAGGGGUAGCGUUGCACAAAACUUCGUGGAAGAUGAAGGAGCUAUAGGGAGUCAAAGAUGUUUUGGCUAAAACCAUCCAUUCUGGAGCCAUAUGUUCCGUCCUUCUAGACGUUGGAUCACUCGAUGUUGUGCACCGUGUUGGUAGGAGAUCGCGGAUGUGUGUAUUAGCUUGCUUGAGAGUCUUUCCCUACACUUAUUCUUGUACCUACUGUAUUUAAUCAAGAAAAACAAAAAGAAACGACCAAGGGAUCUACAGUUAAAAUACUAGGAGCCUAAACCUUAUUUAUUAUCAUUAAUAUUACAAAUUAUUAUUAUUGUUAUUAUUAUAUUAAUAUUCAUUAUUUUUAUCUAUUAAUCUAUUAUGUUUAUUUAUUUUAUUAUUAUAUAUUAUAUUUUUUAUUGUUCACCACACAAACAUUUAAAAAACAUAUCAUCAUUUUUUAAUAUCUAUCUUGAAGCAAUUAAGGUUCAUUACAUUAUUCUUCUCCACUCUGUUUGCUGGACUACCUAACCGAAUUUCAUUUUUCUAUAGGUGUCCAUUCAGUCGUUUUAUAAACUUUGUUUCGCGGAGAGAUCAUCUAAAAUCGUUUUUUUCUAUUUUCAACCCUUUUUUAAACUAUUUUUUGAGUUUGACAUGGAAUUUUUCUUAUAACUAACUCCUUUGGCUGCGCCAACAUGCAUGACGCGCCACUCUAACAUUGUCGCGCUAUACAUGGUGGCACAGCAGAGGCUGCUGACAUGGCGGCCCUGCCACACCACCGCUCAUGGCGCGGCAGUGUCGCGCCGUAGAUCUCGGCGCGGCCCUGCCACGCCAUGAGCCGUGGCGCGGCAGAGCCAAAUAAGAGGCCACGUGCGCGCGGGGUCGGGCGGCCCAGUCUUAUUUCGGCCACCUGACCCACCGCCGCCGCUGCCUGCCUCCCACGCGCCGCCGCCGCCACCGCCUGCCUCCCCAGCCGCGCGCUCGCCCGGCUCCGCCUCGCCGCCAUCCAGCACUGGCAGCCACGGCGUCGUCGGACCCUGCGCCCCCAGCCUCUUCGUGAACGCCCCUGCCCUCCCUUUCUCGAUUGAGGUAUGUUUUCUUCCCUUGUUGUAAUUUGACUUAUUGACGAAGAUUACCAUAUUGAUAUUCGGGCGCAUGGUAAACAUCAGUACUCCAGUGUAUUUCCCCGUCUGAUUCGAAAUAAAUAUGCUUUUGUACCUUUUCUUUAAAA